UACGUAGGGUGCGAGCGUUAAUCGGAAUUACUGGGCGUAAAGUGUGCGCAGGCGGCAAAGCAAGUCGAGUGUGAAAGCCCCGGGCUUAACUUGGGAAUUGCGCUCGAAACUACUUUGCUGGAGUGUGGCAGAGGAAGGUGGAAUUCCACGUGUAGCGGUGAAAUGCGUAGAGAUGUGGAGGAACACCAAUGGCGAAGGCAGCCUUCUGGGCCAACACUGACGCUCAUGCACGAAAGCGUGGGGAGCGAACAGG
RNAcentral lists this ribosomal RNA (253 nucleotides) under uncultured bacterium. RNAcentral's name for it is "partial 16S ribosomal RNA". It matches the Rfam family "Bacterial small subunit ribosomal RNA", at positions 524 to 776 of the family's 1533-position model. The record is from RNAcentral.